Molecule: ribosomal RNA, 505 nt
Filed under: uncultured bacterium
Lineage: Bacteria
Description: partial 16S ribosomal RNA
Rfam family: Bacterial small subunit ribosomal RNA
Source: RNAcentral
GACGAACGCUGGCGGCGUGCCUAAUACAUGCAAGUAGAACGCACAGUUUAUACCGUAGCUUGCUACACCAUAGACUGUGAGUUGCGAACGGGUGAGUAACGCGUAGGUAACCUGCCUGGUAGCGGGGGAUAACUAUUGGAAACGAUAGCUAAUACCGCAUAAUAUUAAUUAUUGCAUGAUAAUUAAUUGAAAGGUGCAAUUGCACCACUACCAGAUGGACCUGCGUUGUAUUAGCUAGUAGGUGAGGUAAAGGCUCGCCUAGGCGACGAUACAUAGCCGAACGGAGUGGGCGGUCGGCCACACUGGGACGGAGACACGGCCCAUACGCCUACGGGAGGCAGCCGUAGGGAUACGUCGGCAAUGGACGAAAGUCUGACCGAGCAACGCCGCGGCAGGGAAGAAGGUUUUCGGAUCGGAAAGGUCUGUUGUAAGGGAAGAACCGGUGUGAGAGUGGAAAGUUCACACUGUGACGGUAUCUGACCAGAAAGGGACGGCUAACUACGUG